CCUACGGGUGGCAGCAGUGGGGGAUAUUGCACAAUGGGCGGAACCCUGAUGCAGCGACGCCGCGUGGGUGAAGAAGCGCCUCGGCGCGUAAAGCCCUGUCAGCAGGGAAGAAAAUGACGGUACCUGAAGACGAAGCCCUGGCGAACUACGUGACAGCAGCCGCGGUAAUACGUAGGGGGCAAGCGUGAUCCGGAUUUACUGGGUGUAAAGGGGGCGCAGACGGCGAUGCAAGUCAGGCGUGAAAGCCCGGGGCCCAACCGCGGGACUGAUGUUGGAACUGCGUGGCUGGAGUGCAGGAGGGGCAGGCGGAAUUCGUGGUGUAGCGGUGAAAUGCGUAGAUAUCAGGAGGAACACCGGUGGCGAAGGCGGCCUGCUGGACCGCAACUGACGUUGAGGCACGAAAGCGUGGGGAGCAAACAGGAGUAGAUACCCUUGUAGUC
This 440-nucleotide ribosomal RNA is filed under the name uncultured bacterium. RNAcentral describes it as "partial 16S ribosomal RNA". It matches the Rfam family "Bacterial small subunit ribosomal RNA", at positions 338 to 795 of the family's 1533-position model. The record is from RNAcentral.